This 588-nucleotide ribosomal RNA is filed under the name uncultured bacterium. Its description in RNAcentral is "bacterial SSU rRNA". It matches the Rfam family "Bacterial small subunit ribosomal RNA", at positions 338 to 916 of the family's 1533-position model. The record is from RNAcentral.
CCUACGGGAGGCAGCAGUGGGGAAUUUUCCGCAAUGGGCGAAAGCCUGACGGAGCAAUGCCGCGUGAAUGAAGAAGGUCUUCGGAUCGUAAAGUUCUGUCAUUAGGGAAGAACAGCAAGUAUGUAAAUAAUGUACUUGCCUGACGGUACCUAAGGAGGAAGCCACGGCUAACUACGUGCCAGCAGCCGCGGUAAUACGUAGGUGGCGAGCGUUGUCCGGAAUUACUGGGCGUAAAGGGCGUGUAGGCGGGAAUUUAAGUCAGAUGUGAAAACCCCGGGCUUAACUUGGGGACUGCAUUUGAUACUGGAUUUCUUGAGGACAGGAGAGGAAAGCGGAAUUCCUAGUGUAGCGGUGAAAUGCGUAGAUAUUAGGAGGAACACCAGUGGCGAAGGCGGCUUUCUGGACUGUAACUGACGCUGAGGCGCGAAAGCGUGGGGAGCGAACGGGAUUAGAUACCCCGGUAGUCCACGCCGUAAACGAUGGGUACUAGGUGUAGGAGGUAUCGACCCCUUCUGUGCCGGAGUUAACGCAAUAAGUACCCCGCCUGGGGAGUACGGCCGCAAGGUUGAAACUCAAAGGAAUUGACGG